GACGAACGCUGGCGGCGUGCUUAACACAUGCAAGUCGAACGGAAAGGCCCUGCUUUUGUGGGGUGCUCGAGUGGCGAACGGGUGAGUAACACGUGAGUAACCUGCCCUUGACUUUGGGAUAACUUCAGGAAACUGGGGCUAAUACCGGAUAGGAGCUCCUGCUGCAUGGUGGGGGUUGGAAAGUUUCGGCGGUUGGGGAUGGACUCGCGGCUUAUCAGCUUGUUGGUGGGGUAGUGGCUUACCAAGGCUUUGACGGGUAGCCGGCCUGAGAGGGUGACCGGCCACAUUGGGACUGAGCUACGGCCCAGACUACUACGGGAGGCAGCAGUGGGGAAUAUUGCACAAUGGGAGGAAGCCUGAUGCAGCAACGCCGCGUGCGGGAUGACGGCCUUCGGGUUGUAAACCGCUUUCGCCUGUGACGAAGCGUGAGUGACGGUAAUGGGUAAAGAAGCACCGGCUAACUACGUG
RNAcentral lists this ribosomal RNA (468 nucleotides) under uncultured bacterium. Its description in RNAcentral is "partial 16S ribosomal RNA". It matches the Rfam family "Bacterial small subunit ribosomal RNA", at positions 28 to 507 of the family's 1533-position model. The record is from RNAcentral.